CGGUGUGCAACAUCCGGAAGUUGUCAGAAAAUCCAAAAAUGGUGGUGGAAAGUUGUGUUUUAUUAAGACAGUACGCAUAUUAUUUUCUGGCGGCACACCAUUAAACUAGUUAAGGAGGAAACCGAAACCGUUGCAGCCUUAAUGGAGGAUGUUUUAUGUACGAACCUGUCGCGGGGGGACACGGGUGUAGUAUCAGCAGGGCACUUUAAGCAAAGACGAUAGUGGAGAUCCAUAGCCCCCACUAGCGGCUGCCCAGAUUAACCACAGCAUGUUUGGAGUGGACAGAAGGAGACUUCAAUGGCAACAACAAACAAUUCUGAUUUCAAUGAUUUACUAUAAAGAUAACAUAAUUAUCUUAAAUAUCAAAUUUGUAUUUAUUUGAAAUAGUAAAUAUAUGUCAUCAUAAAUCUGCAACGAUAAGAUAUAACAAUGAUACGCGAGGACUUGCUGGCAAAAUGAAUGUGCAGCGCUAAUAAUACUCAAUUAAAACCGAGCAUAUAAACAACAGAAGACAGCACUGAACAGCCAUGCAGGUGAAGGAAUCAUAUUUUAUGCAGUGCUGGUGAAAUGGACAAUCAAACAUGUCCACUGUUGCUGCAUUGAAUAAAAAAAUUCCCAUGCAAUCUGAUACCUUGUGCUUUC
Long non-coding RNA from Salvelinus fontinalis (brook trout), 642 nucleotides. RefSeq lists it as uncharacterized. The transcript is spliced from 3 exons. NCBI's taxonomy places the organism in Eukaryota, Metazoa, Chordata, Actinopteri, Salmoniformes, Salmonidae. The record is from RefSeq and is a predicted model, not a curated record.